GGGUGCCUUAAGAUUCCACUGGCAGUAGAGAAUCACUAAAUGUCCAUUUCUGAAUGAAUUCUACUCCCCAGAGACAUUAACACACGAUGUACUUGGCUUGAAUCCUGUUUGAUUUAAGAAAAUCGGCCAAGAGUCCUUCAUAAGUUACUCACAUCUGAGGCACCAUCGGGCUGACCGUGGGACACUCCAGAUGGGGAGUGCUGUGUACCCUCUGCCUCUCCUGUGACCCGAACACCUCCUCUCUCUCUCCAUGGACGACGUUUUCAUCUUAUGGUCUGGGAAUGCUACCUGACCACCCUGGAGGGUCACCCAAGGAAAGAGUUCGUUCCAAAGACAGGUGCUCCUCUGAGUUCCUCUGGAAUCUGGCAAGGUGCCGAGCUUGGACGCAAGGCUUCCAUGAGGCUGUGAAGGAGGUUGCACGGAAACUGGUGGGGAUCUGAAAAGCUUUUAGUGGCCUCGCCACACACAGCACUUCAGAUGCUCAGGUGAUGAGCAACAUUUUCCAAACCCAGCUAGUGAGCACCCCACCUCCUCUGGCUUCCAGAACCUGGUGUGGAGGGCCAGGAGAGGCUUCGGGACUGAAGGGCAGAGCAGCAGACUCCGGGGCUCAUGUAGGAAGGAACAUGCCUUCAGCCAAAGAUUAUCCACGCUGCAUGGAGACUCUUGCUAAA
RNAcentral lists this long non-coding RNA (671 nucleotides) under Homo sapiens (human). RNAcentral describes it as "non-protein coding lnc-EBF3-1:2". Lineage: Eukaryota; Metazoa; Chordata; Mammalia; Primates; Hominidae. The record is from RNAcentral.